Long non-coding RNA from Thunnus maccoyii (southern bluefin tuna), 1054 nucleotides. RefSeq lists it as uncharacterized. The record is from RefSeq and is a predicted model, not a curated record. NCBI's taxonomy places the organism in Eukaryota, Metazoa, Chordata, Actinopteri, Scombriformes, Scombridae. The transcript has 3 exons.
GGAGGGGAAUGAUUUAUCUGUCUGAUGAGGAGUUGUGGUAGGCACACUGAGGUGAUCUGGGAGAUGACUGUUGGAAGCCUGUCGCAGAGUCGACUCCUGCCAAGAGUGCUAUCCUCUUACCUCACACAGGUCUCUGGUCCUUUACCUUUGAACCCAGGCCCAGCAGCCCAUCUCUGAUCUACAGAAGGUCUCCUCUUACCCCCAUCCCCUUUGCAGGCCCCCAUGAUAGAUGACCAUCAACAUGCCAAUACUGCACAAUAUUUCAAUUUCCUGCCCAGGAAGAGGAAUUUUAGGGGUUGAGUGAAGUUCAGAAGCACAGUGUGGUGCCUCCAGCUCGCAACCAGCCCCCAUCCUUGUGCCGAAGACCAGAGACCCAAAUAUUCAGCUGAGAACAUUCCAGAAACCAGGUCCUCUCUGUGUCAACAAAACAACCCCUGUCGCCAUCGUCCUGCUUGACAGACAGCAGCGCAGAGGACACUGACAGGAGACCUAUCAGCCUCAGCCCUGGGAAGAAAAAGAGGAGAGCAGAAGAGAAGAAGGCCACUGUUUGCUGCUCGACUUUUGAAGCGUCUUUAUCGGGCUUGGCAGCGUGGUCCUGCGUGUCCAAGCCUCGUCGUGCUUUUCAUCCUUUGUGCUGUCCAAGGACCAGUUAGUCUGACUCUUGUGAAGGUCAGUACUGAAUCCUGGCCUGCUAUAAGACCAGACCAAGAAGAAGUGAGAAGGCCCCUCUCUUUACCAGGGAGUGGCAGCACAACGUGGAGAGGCUUAACACACACUCACACAUAAACGCACACACAUAUGCACUUCAUGUCUGUGAUUAUUCACAUCCGCAAGCAUGCGCACAUGCACACACACACACACACACACACACACAUACACAAUCUGCCUCACCCUCACAUAGACAUACGCAUACAAAAGCACACCUGUCAGGGCCUUUCCACUAUGUGAGCAAAAGCAAAGAAGUCUGGCCCCCCCUCUGUCUCUCUGUAUGUGGUAUCCCAUGUCUGUUAUAUUAAAGCAAAUCUAUUCAGUUCCCACUUUCUCAUCUGAAAUA